GGACAUGGGUGUCGGUCCGUUCUUAAUUGAAUGUGUACCUGAUACCUUCGUUCAUCCUCGAGGAGAGCAUAUCUGACAUUCAGUUGCCGGGUAUGGGAUCCUCGUCAUUUACUGUGAGCAAAAUAGAGUGUUCAAAGCAGGCUUAGGCCGUUGAAUACAUUAGCAUGGAAUAAUGGAACAGGAUUGGGGUCCUGAUUUCGUUGGUUUCUAGGAUCUCAGUA
Molecule: ribosomal RNA, 221 nt
Filed under: uncultured fungus
Lineage: Eukaryota; Fungi
Description: partial small subunit ribosomal RNA
Source: RNAcentral